RNAcentral lists this ribosomal RNA (468 nucleotides) under uncultured bacterium. RNAcentral describes it as "partial 16S ribosomal RNA". It matches the Rfam family "Bacterial small subunit ribosomal RNA", at positions 28 to 507 of the family's 1533-position model. The record is from RNAcentral.
GACGAACGCUGGCGGCGUGCUUAACACAUGCAAGUCGAACGGAAAGGCCCUGCUUUUGUGGGGAGCUCGAGUGGCGAACGGGUGAGUAACACGUGAGUUACCUGCCCUUGACUUUGGGAUAACCUCAGGAAACUGGGGCUAAUACCGGAUAGGAGCUCCUGCUGCAUGGUGGGGGUUGGAAAGUUUCGGCGGUUGGGGAUGGACUCGCGGCUUAUCAGCUUGUUGGUUGGGUAGUGGCUUACCAAGGCUUUGACGGGUAGCCGGGCUGAGAGGGUGACCCGACACAUUGGGACUGGACUGCGGCCCAGCCUACUACGGGACGCAGCAGUGCAGUAUGGUGCACAAUGGGCGGAAGCCUAAUGCAGCAACGCCGCGCGGGGGAUGACGGCAAUCCCGUUGUAAACCACUUUCGCCUGUGACGAAGCGUGAGUGACAGUAAUGGGUAAAGAAGCACCGGCUAACUACGUG